UGGAUGAUGAGGCCCUUUCAAUAGAUUGGUGAUAAAGGCCCGUGUUUCUGAU
This 52-nucleotide small nucleolar RNA is filed under the name Sulfolobus acidocaldarius DSM 639. Its description in RNAcentral is "Small nucleolar RNA sR5". It matches the Rfam family "Small nucleolar RNA sR5". The record is from Rfam by way of RNAcentral. Lineage: Archaea; Thermoproteati; Thermoproteota; Thermoprotei; Sulfolobales; Sulfolobaceae.